AUCUUUUUAUAGAAUUUUAUAAAACCCUGCAGGAGAGAAAAUCAGAAGAGAAAAAGAAAACAUUGUAUUUGAUGUUUUUCACAAGAAUUUUCGACAUAAUGGUAAGUGAACAAAUUGCAGGAUUCGCGAUAGAUGUGAACACACCAAGAUUUUAUCUCGAGAUAAAACAUUGAAGUUGCGGGUUACUUUGUAUGCAUUGCAACAUAUGCACACUACGUAAGUUUAUCUCAGCCACUAUAGGAUCAACGAAAGAAGUGCUUGAAGAUGCAGAGAAAAAUUCUUUGUGUUUUAGUGUUUUUUCUCAUUUUGGGAAUAUGCACAUGCCGUCUCGCUACCAUUGGGCAUACUUCAUCCAGAUUUAGACACCAUCUCCAGCGAUUUUUGAAUGACAAUGCUGUUCAACACACGAGUGGAAAUCCAUCUUUGGGCGGCGUACGAAAUGCUGGCUGUAUGACAGUAAUACGUCAUCCUCUCGGCAGACAACGACGGCCGUGUAGUCGCAGGAGACACAGGAGGUGUUGAAACACUGUACAAAGACCAGAAUAAUUUUAAAUAUUGACCUUGAACUUUGUACUUCUUACACACUGGUAAACAAAACACAGAAAAAGUGAACUUAUCUGUUUGUUUAUCAAAAAUGUGGAUUUGUUUUAUUUGAUGCAUACUUAACCAAUGUAUCGUAUAUGCCUGUAAAUUCCUCAACAGAAUACGGAGUAGAACGGAGACUAAACAUUCUACAUGUAAGUUAAGAUAAUGUAUUGAUUGCGUGUACAUUUACUGUUAAAUCAUAAACUCAAAGUCCUUAUUAUUAUUAUUGGCACAAGACUGAAUUGAUAGUGCUCUAGCAAUAAUACAAUGUGAUGAGAUGCCGUGUGUGUAUUGUAAGAAAAUUAAGAAGACUAUAUUAUUUUUGCAUUCUAAAUUUGCCACAAGGUAUAUCUGUGGUAAUUUGUUCAAUUUGGACAAAUGAAAACAGACAAUCAAAAUAUAUUUAUCAAAAACGAAUAAAGCUCACGUACUAGG
Ostrea edulis (European flat oyster) is the source of this 1020-nucleotide long non-coding RNA. RefSeq lists it as uncharacterized. The record is from RefSeq and is a predicted model, not a curated record. The transcript is spliced from 2 exons. Lineage: Eukaryota; Metazoa; Mollusca; Bivalvia; Ostreida; Ostreidae.